Molecule: long non-coding RNA, 1001 nt
Organism: Aedes aegypti (yellow fever mosquito)
Lineage: Eukaryota; Metazoa; Arthropoda; Insecta; Diptera; Culicidae
Exons: 2
Source: RefSeq, a predicted model, not a curated record
GCGUAUAUGUUUUCGCGACUAUGAUUUUGAUCGCAAUUUGUUCUAAGUGUUACGUCUGUUUCUCUGUGUUCCCACGAUUUCCACUUUUACUUUCGUUUGACGUAAGAAUAUUUUUGUUUUGAUUCUUUCUUCCUGUUAGAAUGACUAUUCGGAUGGGCGCUCAAUAAUCACUUUGGUUCACAAAAGUUAUCCGUAGUUUUGUGUUCGUGAUUAUUGCUUCUCACGAAUAUGCUUCCUAAUGAAUUGGGUAAGCUAUUGUUAUGUAAAAUGGAAACUCAUUCGCAUUUACUGGUUCACAAUCGACACGGGAUUGGUCGCUUUUUAUACACUGAUAAAAAUCACAAUCCACUAUUAGUCAGGAACUUCUAUCCUUAUCGUACUGCUGUCCGGAUUCUUAAGCCUUAGUGCAAAAGCGGAUGAUUGGGAAACUUUGCCAAGGGAGAAAUCUUCCACCACACACUUGCUUCACACUCUAAAGAAAGGCUUUGAAAGCUGAUCAUGGGACGUUCAGCCGAACCACAACAGUACACACGAAAUGUCCGUAAUAGACUGAAGUCGAAGGUUUUGCCUUACUCCGCACGUAAUCUUCCACGCUGACCGUCCGUGUCGUCGUGAUUCGUGAGUGGCCAUGUAGCGAAGUAAGUAGCAGCAGUUCGGCUGCCCAAAGCUGACCGAAAAACCAGUCAGCGCGAAAAGGAAACCCGCUGCUGGCCGCCACUGGGUUUCACACCACUAUACCUCUUUUCCAAAAACUGUCCGACGACGUGCAACAGUGUGACGGACGGAGCUCGAUGUGUCCGUAUGGUCGCUAGUAAUAUGGCACGUUCGCACAUCUGACGAUGUUGGCCAUUAUCGCGAGCGAUCGAUAUUUGUGCGACCAUGCGCAUACCAUCACACGAACAGAGAGUUUUAACUGUGCUAAUAGUACAUAAAUCGAAAAUUUUAUUUUUAGUACGAAUUAAUUAAUAAAUAUGUGUUUGAAUGAGCCGUUUUCAAGUUAA